UUACGGCCAUAUCACGUUGAAAAACCAGUUCCCGUACGAUCACCGAAGUUAAAUCACGUCGAACCUGGUCAGUAUCUCAAUGGGUGACAGCUUGAGAAUACCAGGUGCUGUAAG
Non-coding RNA from Acanthosepion pharaonis, 114 nucleotides. The record is from the annotation of a GenBank genome assembly. NCBI's taxonomy places the organism in Eukaryota, Metazoa, Mollusca, Cephalopoda, Sepiida, Sepiidae.